RNAcentral lists this signal recognition particle RNA (96 nucleotides) under Vibrio cholerae. RNAcentral's name for it is "signal recognition particle sRNA small type". It matches the Rfam family "Bacterial small signal recognition particle RNA". From Rfam's summary of the family: The signal recognition particle (SRP) is a universally conserved ribonucleoprotein involved in the co-translational targeting of proteins to membranes. Archaeal SRP consists of a 7S RNA and homologues of the eukaryotic SRP19 and SRP54 proteins. The record is from RNAcentral. Lineage: Bacteria; Pseudomonadati; Pseudomonadota; Gammaproteobacteria; Vibrionales; Vibrionaceae.
CCCUGGAACUCCCGCAACACUAGUUCGUGAACCUGGUCAGAUCCGGAAGGAAACAGCCACAGCGGAUGAUGUGUGUGCCGGAUGUGGCUGACGCCU